UACGUAGGUCCCGAGCGUUGUCCGGGUUUAUUGGGCGUAAAGGGAACGCAGGCGGUCUUUUAAGUCUGAUGUGAAAGCCUUCGGCUUAACCGGAGUAGUGCAUUGGAAACUGGGAGACUUGAGUGCAGAAGAGGAGAGUGGAACUCCAUGUGUAGCGGUGAAAUGCGUAGAUAUAUGGAAGAACACCAGUGGCGAAAGCGGCUCUCUGGUCUGUAACUGACGCUGAGGUUCGAAAGCGUGGGUAGCAAACAGG
This 253-nucleotide ribosomal RNA is filed under the name uncultured bacterium. RNAcentral describes it as "partial 16S ribosomal RNA". It matches the Rfam family "Bacterial small subunit ribosomal RNA", at positions 524 to 776 of the family's 1533-position model. The record is from RNAcentral.